GAUGAACGCUGACGGCGUGCCUAAUACAUGCAAGUCGAGCGAACGGACGAGAAGCUUGCUUCUCUGAUGUUAGCGGCGGACGGGUGAGUAACACGUGGAUAACCUACCUAUAAGACUGGGAUAACUUCGGGAAACCGGAGCUAAUACCGGAUAAUAUUUUGAACCGCAUGGUUCAAAAGUGAAAGACGGUCUUGCUGUCACUUAUAGAUGGAUCCGCGCUGCAUUAGCUAGUUGGUAAGGUAACGGCUUACCAAGGCAACGAUGCAUAGCCGACCUGAGAGGGUGAUCGGCCACACUGGAACUGAGACACGGUCCAGACGCCUACGGGAGGCAGCAGUAGGGAAUCUUCCGCAAUGGGCGAAAGCCUGACGGAGCAACGCCGCGUGAGUGAUGAAGGUCUUCGGAUCGUAAAACUCUGUUAUUAGGGAAGAACAUAUGUGUAAGUAACUGUGCACAUCUUGACGGUACCUAAUCAGAAAGCCACGGCUAACUACGUG
This 497-nucleotide ribosomal RNA is filed under the name uncultured bacterium. RNAcentral describes it as "partial 16S ribosomal RNA". It matches the Rfam family "Bacterial small subunit ribosomal RNA", at positions 28 to 507 of the family's 1533-position model. The record is from RNAcentral.